Regulatory RNA element from Streptococcus sp., 79 nucleotides. The record is from Rfam. NCBI's taxonomy places the organism in Bacteria, Bacillati, Bacillota, Bacilli, Lactobacillales, Streptococcaceae.
CGUCCAGUGCAACCGCUCGGAAAUCGUUAGUUAAGCAGAAAGUGACUUUCUCACGAUUGCGGCGAGUCUUCACAAGAGG